GCCCCUUGGCUGGGGCUGGCCGAUCCCCAGGGACCCGCAGGCCCGAUCCUCCCUCCCUGUAUCCCUGUCUCGUCUCUCGGUGUCUCUGGAUCUCUCUGGGUCUCUGUGGCGAAACCCCAGCUCCUCCUCCGGGCGCCGCUCCUAACAAUGGCCCGAUUCACGCGGUGCCCGCCGGCGCCAUGGCAACGCCCCCACUCCCUCCCUCCCUUCCCCCGCGCGCGGGCAGCGCGUGCCAAGAAGAUGCCAUGGUUACGUCAAAGGGGAGCCGCGAGCCUCGGGCGCGCACUCUUAAAGGAGCCCAGCUCCGCGGGCACGGGCAGCUGGGGAGAAGCUUUGCACACACCGGCCAGCAGAGGGAGCCAGGGACCUGGGGCGGGGGGGGGGGGGGUGAAGAGCGUGGCACAAAGCGGGAGGGGGGGGACCCCAGUCCAGGUUCUGCGCCAACCGGGAGGCAAGCGUGGGUCCCUACCCACGUCACACGUAGAGGCAGGCCUCUUCGUCCGGCUGCGGGCGCGGACAGCACGGCAAGGCGGGGUUACCGAGCGGCAUGGAGUAGAGAGCGAGAGAGCGAGAGAGGAGGAGAGUCGGAGAGGAGAGGGAGCGAGCGAGUGAGCAGGGCGAGCGAGGAGGCAGCCAGAGAGGCGGCGGCGGCGGCGGCAGCGGCAGCUGAGGCGGCGGCGGCGGCGGCGGCGGCUGCAGCAGCGGCGCCGGGCUCCGGGCAGGCUCGCCCAGAGCUGGAGCGCGGCUCCCCCACUGCCCGGCCCAAGCUGAACUGAGCUGAGUCGCGCCUCACCGCGCCAGCCGCGGGCUCCUCGGACAGCGAGCGAUGUACUCCCCGUACUGCCUCACCCAGGUAACCGGGCGCCGCCGCCCCCGCCCCGGGGCUGGGAGGGUGUGUACGCGCGCGCGCGUGGCUCCGUGUGAGGCUGUCUGCGAGUGGGUCCGGCUGCCUCCCGGAGACUGCAUGUCGUGUCAGUCAGUCUGCGCGAGGGUGGUGUGUGCGAGACAGUGUGGAACGGCGGCUGUAGGCGCGCGUGUGCCAGGCUGCGUGUGUGUGUCUGCGAGAGUGUCAGGCUGCGAAUGAGUGUGAGCGUGAGUGUGUGUCAGUGUCAGUGUCAAUGUCGGGCUGGGGGUGGGAGAGCGUGUGGAGGGUGUGACUGCCAGGGGGAGAGGGGCCGGGGAAGCCCUCUCAGCGGGGCCUGGCGCUGCCCGCCUUAGUGCGGGGCUCUGCUCCCCGCUCCCCCACCGCUCCC
This 1253-nucleotide long non-coding RNA is filed under the name Monodelphis domestica (gray short-tailed opossum). RNAcentral's name for it is "lncRNA (ENSMODG00000045352.1)". Lineage: Eukaryota; Metazoa; Chordata; Mammalia; Didelphimorphia; Didelphidae. The record is from RNAcentral.